Molecule: long non-coding RNA, 299 nt
Filed under: Ananas comosus (pineapple)
Lineage: Eukaryota; Viridiplantae; Streptophyta; Magnoliopsida; Poales; Bromeliaceae
Description: long non-coding RNA (ACOM_LNC028397)
Source: RNAcentral
UCCGUUUGCGGGUGAUAAGCCGAACUCAUAAGCAGUUUGUCACACCCUAAUAAUCCCACAUCAGAUAGGAAUGGGGAUGUGAUUGGGUAUAUUAGAGACUUAGACACUAGUAAUAAUAACUGGGCUUAAGCAUUUUGGGCCAAUAGUUGGGCCCAACGAGUUAUUAUUGCUAGUGGGCUGGGUCGUUACACAGUUUGAUCCCCAUCAUCUUGAACAACUCCUGCCAUACUUGGCUUGUAAAAACUUUAUCCCUGUCGGUCAAAAUUGUCCUCGGUAACCCGUGUAGUCUAUACACCGUA